GGCGCACUAAACCCAAAGGCGCAAUGAAAGUGAAAGGCUCGGGGUUUCUUCUCCGAGCCGGGGCCGAUCCUCGACCGGCCGAUGCCGUCGCGGCCGCACCAUACCAAAGCGGGGCCCUUAGGCGGCGCGCGGAGUGAGACCCUUUCCUCCGUUUCGCGCCGCUGGUCCCGUGGGCGGCUCGGCGCGCUCGGUGGUCCGACCUCGGUCGCCUGUACGCAGGGGGGCGCAGGCCCGGGACUUGCCAUGCGACGCUGUCGCGCGAAUCUGUUGUUGACCUCAUCGGCUCUGCUUGGGCUCUCGUUUGGCGCGCCGCGUGUCUGGGCGGGUUUUGGGGGGGGGCCUCGGCUCCUUCCCGGGCUCGUUCGGCGCGGUUGCGCCUUGCGAUCCUGCUCUGUCCGGAGUGGCCUAGCGCGCGUGCUGUCGGCAAGUACCAAGAGCAGACAUGUUGGGACCCGAAAGAUGGUGAACUAUGCCUGGCCAGGAUGAAGCCAGAGGAAACUCUGGUGGAGGUCCGUAGCAAUUCUGACGUGCAAAUCGAUUGUCA
RNAcentral lists this ribosomal RNA (544 nucleotides) under Callinectes sapidus (blue crab). RNAcentral's name for it is "eukaryotic LSU rRNA". The stretch from base 450 to 544 matches the Rfam family "Eukaryotic large subunit ribosomal RNA", at positions 813 to 907 of the family's 3401-position model. The record is from RNAcentral. Lineage: Eukaryota; Metazoa; Arthropoda; Malacostraca; Decapoda; Portunidae.